UGCAGAAUCCCGUGAACCAUCGAGCCUUUGAACGCAAGUUGCGCCCGAAGCCUUUAGGCCGAGGGCACGCCUGCCUGGGCGUCA
This 84-nucleotide ribosomal RNA is filed under the name Crataegus douglasii. RNAcentral's name for it is "partial 5.8S ribosomal RNA". It matches the Rfam family "5.8S ribosomal RNA", at positions 73 to 154 of the family's 154-position model. Rfam says of the family: 5.8S ribosomal RNA (5.8S rRNA) is a component of the large subunit of the eukaryotic ribosome. It is transcribed by RNA polymerase I as part of the 45S precursor that also contains 18S and 28S rRNA. The record is from RNAcentral. Lineage: Eukaryota; Viridiplantae; Streptophyta; Magnoliopsida; Rosales; Rosaceae.